RNAcentral lists this non-coding RNA (25 nucleotides) under Cricetulus griseus (Chinese hamster). The record is from RNAcentral. Lineage: Eukaryota; Metazoa; Chordata; Mammalia; Rodentia; Cricetidae. RNAcentral also lists the same sequence under 1 other name.
UAAUAUUAGGGGAGUAGAGCCAGUU